UGGAGGCCAAGAACCAUCUGAUGCGAAGCGGAAGCCGUUUAUUAUCAUGCUCAUUCGCCAAGUUAAAGAUAAGUUAAAACUAGUUUUGCUCUUUGCACCGCAAUAUUCGACCGGAAGGGUAAAAAUAACUUUUCGUCAGUUGCAGUUCUCUAUAUGCCUCACACUAUUCUUAGAUACUGUCUUCCUCUAAACUGCGGAAUUGAAAAAAGUAUGCAGCAGUGAACCGUUUCAACAUCAUGUUUUAAAAGAGUCCAUCAAUAUCACAAUAAAUGUCUCAAAGAAGAACAUUUUUCAAAAUUGGAGGAAUUCUAGUGUUGUUGCCAAACCGUUAAACAGCCAUGAGAGCAGGUGGAUUUAAAUUAAAAUACACUAAAAUGAACGAGGAAAAAAAACAAAGGGAAUUUAAACGUGAACUGCAGGAGGGGUGAAUUUAUAAGAAAGGGGUGUGGGUGUGUAUUUAAUUUAAGAUACAUUUGAAAACUUUUAAGUGAUUAAAAAACGUAAAAAAAAAAAUGUCAGCAAUUGAGUAAUUUCGCCACAAGAGGUCGGAAUAAUCAUGUAUUAUUCAUACGAAUAGCGCGUUCACACAAGAAGCAAGCAAGCACAAUUUUAAACGUGCGAGACGCUGCAAAGGACGCGACGCGCGUCUGUCCUGCGCAUGUUUACAUAGAAAAGCAUGGGAAAAGCAGCGCAGGAGAAUGCAAAAAAAAAAAAAAAAAAAAAAAAAAAGGCCUGUUUGACCGUCCUCUAUACUGUUGUGUUGCUUGAACUCUUGGCACACCCACAGCCAGGUGGAACAUCAGCGGUAGAACUUGACGCAUUAUGACGCCAUAGUUCUAAAGCGACUUCAGUGGAAUCUGUUCAGCGCAGUUCAUCUGUGAGUGAAGUUAUUCAGACCAUUUAACUGUUUGUGAUCGCAAUGAAAAGCCGAAAAAGCAAGAAGCCGACAAGGCCAAGCAUUACUCCUACUUUUGAGAGCCAUUCCCAGACUCAGUUACCUCAAUUUAUUCCUUCCUCGCCUGACCCAUCUUCUAACACGAGGUCUCCAUCCAGGCGCACGAAGGGAAGACAAAGAAAAGUUGUAUUCCCUGACAUUGGGAAUGCAGCAAAUUCUGUGACCAGAAGAAACGGCACCGGAGACCUUUUACCCCCCGUCCCGGUGAUUCCAGCAGUGCCAAAAGGCGACCAGAAUGGGAAGACCAUCUGCAGUGAUGCUGCGACCUUUCUCUCUGCCACUGACAGAGCAAGACUUUUUGGCAUCAACAAGUGGUAUUAGAGUCCAGGGAGGAGAUGAAGUCAUCAGAAAAAGAAGAAAUCUGUCUAUGUAAAAUAAUAACUUUGCAUUAAAAUUCUUCACUGUCAUUUUACUUGAACUACAGUCUGUGAAAACUUGUUUCUGUCAUGGAGUAAAAAUUAUAAAAGAUAAUCAGGACUUUUUAAUUUCACAGUUUAUACUCCUUUCAUGCAGUUCUAAGAAAAAAGGGUAGAAUUAUAAGAUAUAAAGUCAGGGCUUUGAGAUAUAAACUAGCAUUACUAAGAGAAGACAGAAUUGUACGUAGCUUGUUUCCUUGUGUUUUUCUCAGUUUCUAAAAUGUAAAACUGAAAAUGUAGAACUAUGAGAUAUAAAUUCAUA
Cyprinus carpio (common carp) is the source of this 1633-nucleotide long non-coding RNA. RefSeq lists it as uncharacterized. The record is from RefSeq and is a predicted model, not a curated record. NCBI's taxonomy places the organism in Eukaryota, Metazoa, Chordata, Actinopteri, Cypriniformes, Cyprinidae.